RNAcentral lists this unclassified non-coding RNA (224 nucleotides) under Ascomycota sp. Its description in RNAcentral is "partial contains small subunit ribosomal RNA, internal transcribed spacer 1, and 5.8S ribosomal RNA". The stretch from base 1 to 47 matches the Rfam family "Eukaryotic small subunit ribosomal RNA", at positions 1785 to 1831 of the family's 1831-position model. The record is from RNAcentral. Lineage: Eukaryota; Fungi; Ascomycota.
AAAGUCGUAACAAGGUCUCCGUAGGUGAACCUGCGGAGGGAUCAUUGAAGAGUUAGGGCCCUCGUGGCCCGACCUCCAACCCUUUGUCUACCAACCAUGUUGCCUCGGGGGCGACCCUGCCGUCCGCGGUCUGGGGCUCCCGGUGGACCACUAAACUCUGCAUCUUUGCGUCUGAGUAAAUUGUUAAUAAAACAAAACUUUCAACAACGGAUCUCUUGGUUCUG